UGUGACAGAAUAGUGUGAUAAAUUUAAGAUUUAUUUAUAAAGUAAACCUUUCUUUAGAA
This 59-nucleotide transfer RNA is filed under the name Diatrichalus sp. A00156. Its description in RNAcentral is "tRNA-Leu". RNAcentral also lists the same sequence under 13 other names. Lineage: Eukaryota; Metazoa; Arthropoda; Insecta; Coleoptera; Lycidae. The record is from RNAcentral.